GAUGAACGCUAGCGGGAGGCUUAACACAUGCAAGUCGAGGGGCAGCAUAGGGUAGCAAUACUCUGAUGGCGACCGGCAAACGGGUGAGUAACGCGUAUGCAACCUACCCUGUACAGGGGGAUAACCCGGAGAAAUUCGGACUAAUAUCCCGUAAUAAUAUCCGGAGGCAUCUUUGGAUAUUUAAAGUUCCGACGGUACGGGAUGGGCAUGCGUAACAUUAGCUGGUUGGUAAGGUAACGGCUUACCAAGGCUAUGAUGUUUAGGGGUCCUGAGAGGGUGGUCCCCCACACUGGUACUGAGACACGGACCAGACUCCUACGGGAGGCAGCAGUGAGGAAUAUUGGUUAAUGGGCGCAAGCCUGAACCAGCCAUCCCGCGUGCAGGAAGACGGCCCUAUGGGUUGUAAACUGCUUUUCCAGGGAGAGAAACUUACGCACGUGUUGCGUGACUGACGGUACCCUGGGAAUAAGCAUCGGCUAACUCCGUG
This 487-nucleotide ribosomal RNA is filed under the name uncultured bacterium. Its description in RNAcentral is "bacterial SSU rRNA". It matches the Rfam family "Bacterial small subunit ribosomal RNA", at positions 28 to 507 of the family's 1533-position model. The record is from RNAcentral.